CAGGGCAUCUCCAAUGGUACCAGGAUCACUCAGCUUUAAGCGCCACCGCUAUCUGGAACUCGAAGGAUCCAUCCAGAGCCAUGGUGACUCUGCUGGGAAAGUGAUGACACCACCAUCGCCAUUCCAGAAAGAUCCAGAACAACACCUCAGCUCUGCAGUUCCCUCUGUGCUCUUUACUGGGCCUUCGCCCUUCCAUCCAGGCCACACUCACCAAUGAGCAGCUCAAGGGCAAUGCGAUCAGAGGACUCAUAACUCCGGUUCAGGAAAAGGACCACAUGGAAAGGCUGCCCACGGCGC
Long non-coding RNA from Marmota flaviventris (yellow-bellied marmot), 297 nucleotides. RefSeq lists it as uncharacterized. The record is from RefSeq and is a predicted model, not a curated record. NCBI's taxonomy places the organism in Eukaryota, Metazoa, Chordata, Mammalia, Rodentia, Sciuridae.